AACUUUUGCUGGUUUCUAUUUAGCUACUAAUUAGAUGAUUCUUUUUACUUUUCUCAUUUCAGGUAGGUUUAUUAGCAUCUCCAGGGACAGUUGAAAGCCUCGUUGAUCAUUUUCGUUGGAUUUUUGGCCGCUUUGCAGGUAGGUUUAUUAGCGCAUCCAGGGACAUUUGAAAGCAUUGCUGAUCAUUUUCGUUGGAUUUUUGGCCGCUUUGCAGGUGAGUGUAUAUUGUGAACUUUUGCUAGUUUUUAUUUAGCUACUAAUUAGAUGAUUCUUUGUACUUUUCUCGUUUCAGGUAGGUUUAUUAGCGCAUCCAGGGACAUUUGAAAGCAUUGCUGAUCAUCUUCGUUGGAUUUUUGGCCGCUUUGCAGGUAGGUUUAUUAGCGCAUCCAGGGACAGUUAAAAGCAUUGCUGAUCAUCUUCGUUGGAUUUUUAGCCGUUUUGCAGGUGAGUGUAUAUUGUGUAAGGUUGUUUUCUCAUUUUAGUAUACGGCUACGCUCGUUGGCGUGGUUAUGCUGGACGUUGUGGAGCUGGUACGCCAGCUCGGUGACAUCAUUGCUGGA
Molecule: small RNA, 560 nt
Filed under: Drosophila mojavensis
Lineage: Eukaryota; Metazoa; Arthropoda; Insecta; Diptera; Drosophilidae
Description: GI27032
Source: RNAcentral